Molecule: long non-coding RNA, 737 nt
Organism: Nerophis ophidion (straightnose pipefish)
Lineage: Eukaryota; Metazoa; Chordata; Actinopteri; Syngnathiformes; Syngnathidae
Exons: 2
Source: RefSeq, a predicted model, not a curated record
CGGGAAAAACGAUCGAGCGUUGACCGGACCGCAGCUACAAAAAGGUUGGGGACCACUGAUAUAAAUAACACAUUUCUUUGACUAAAAGGCAUAAAACUGAUCUGAAGCCGAUCUUAAGAUUGUGCGGUCCUCGGUGUAAAAGUUGAGUCCGGACACCUGGACUGCAGCUGUGGAAAGUCCAAGAAAAUAAAUUCAAGACUUUAUUUUUCCUUCCCGCUCCUGUCCCGACCUGCCUGGUGCAUUGCUCAACUGCUUCACACAAACCAUCCCCCCCCCCCCGCUGCCCGGGUCUAAAAAGGGUGUCCCACCCCAGGGCGUCGCUCUUUAAGCGUCCACGGGGGCGGCACAUGAGGCAGACUCCGCCCCACUUCUCGUCUCAGGGCACGCCCAUCGCCACUCCCUUCCAGCUUCACGCUGACUUCCUGCCAGAUUUCUUAUAAAUUCAAACACAUUGUCUUUUUGCUCACACGAUGGCUCCUCCCAAUUUGUCUCCCGGCAACUUUUGCCUCAUAUUAAUAAAAAAAAUAAAUAAAAAGGCUUUCCUACUUGACGUGCUAAAAGUGAGAUCCAAGUUGGAGAAGCAAAGCAAAAUGGGCUUCAAACAUCCUCCAGAUGAGUGUGAUUGCGGGACCAUCUGGAAUCGCUUAAAGUGACUUCAGCUUUUGGAAGAAAAAAAAAAAAAAAAGCUCCAGAAGGAAAAAAUGAAAAUAGUCCCAAACCAGCCUUUCGCUCUCCCU